GCCAGGACGCCGGAGCAGCUGGACCUGCUGGACGCGCUGCUGGACGGCACGACGACGAUCGAGGGCCUGGCCG
RNAcentral lists this transfer RNA (73 nucleotides) under Streptomyces mutabilis. Lineage: Bacteria; Bacillati; Actinomycetota; Actinomycetes; Kitasatosporales; Streptomycetaceae. The record is from RNAcentral.